RNAcentral lists this long non-coding RNA (1412 nucleotides) under Arabidopsis lyrata. RNAcentral's name for it is "long non-coding RNA (ALYR_LNC000597)". The record is from RNAcentral. Lineage: Eukaryota; Viridiplantae; Streptophyta; Magnoliopsida; Brassicales; Brassicaceae.
UACAAUAUCUUUUUAUCGGUUUUAACAUCGGAACAUUAACUUGCACUGAACAAUCUCUUGGAAAUGUUUCCCUCAUUGUAGAAUCGUCACCAGAAUAUGAUCCUAAAAGAUCUGACUCAUCCAGGAAAAGGAACGCUCCUUCGAGCUUUAAAACCCCAACUGCUGCUCCGAACUAUAAUACUCCAACCGCAGCUUCAGAAAAAUUCAACACAAGAUCAAAUGUUAUUCGAGGAGGAAAAGGAUCUUUGAAAGAUUCUAAAGACAUUGGGUAUAAAUCAUCAGGGAAAGGUGGUGGUAAACUUGGAAACUCCUUUUCCAAAUCUGACAAACGCGUGAAGCCUCAAUUAGCUCGUGCUGUGGAGGUCACAAAUAGUGAUGAUGAUUAUGAUUCUUCGCCAGAAAGAAAUGUCACUGAGCUUCCUGAGAAGGUCCCAUCCUCUCUUUUUUUUCCUCCUAUCGGCACUUUCUCCGGUAUAUAGGAUUGAGAACAUAACCUUCUCUACAUCUUCUCUCAGAUUUCUGAAUUACCCAAGCCUCAGUCUGGCUCGCGUACCCUCAGUCAAUUAGAACAAGAGAAUAAUGAGUUAAGAGACAGGUUUGUUACCAUCUUACGUACCAUGUUAAUUUGCCUAUAAGAUUCGUGUUUCUUGUUUGUGUGAACACUGAAAGCUGUGCUUUUUGUUUCUCAGGCUCAAUAAAAAAGAAGAAGUCUUCCUGUUACUGCAAAAGGACCUGCGACGUGAGAAAGAGCUUCGCAAGACACUUGAAGCUGAGGUAACUUCUACUUUCGGACAUUUACUGUGUCUGCCUGAAAACCUGUAACAUCACUCACCUAUGGAUCCUCCUGUCAUUGCAGGUUCAAACAUUAAAGUACAAGUUAGAAGAAAUGGAUAAAGAGCAAGCGAGUUUAAUCGAUGUUUUCGCAGAGGAUAGAGACAGACGUGACAAGGAGGAAGAAAAUCUCAGAAUUAAGCUAGAGGUUCUCAUCCGUUCAAACCUCAUUUCUCUAAAUAGUCUCUUAGAUUCAAGAAAUAGAAUGACUUGACUCUGUGAUUGCAGGAGGCGUCAAACACAAUCCAAAAGUUGCUGGAUGGAAAAGCUCGAGGCAGAUAAGUCGUUCAUCGCAGACGUUAGAGGUGCAUUGAUGAUAGUAUUGAGAGGCAUCUUACAUAAUUGACUGAUUAGGUUGAUUGCUUUAACAUCAACGUUUUGUAGUGGUGUGUGGUCUCGGACCUGACCACAACAGAGUUAGUAGAGAAGUAGGAUAUUGUUGUAAAGUGAGGUUAUUGGUUUAAUGUUUGAAACAUUUGAAUUUGGUUCGGCAUUUCAAACCUCCCCGUACGCAACCUCUCCCAAAUCUACAAAUAUCGGUUUUUGUAGUCAGCAUGAUUAGACUCACCAAAUUAACUUAC